Molecule: long non-coding RNA, 3038 nt
Organism: Biomphalaria glabrata
Lineage: Eukaryota; Metazoa; Mollusca; Gastropoda; Planorbidae
Exons: 3
Source: RefSeq, a predicted model, not a curated record
CUUGAAUCAUUUGAACAAGAUCAGAGAAAGUUGCUUUACGAUGACUGAUUUUGAUUAAAGCAAGGUUGCAAAGGUCAAGGUCAUGAUGGUACUAGAAGUGUUUUCUCUGAUUGAGAUUGACUGAUUGAGUAUGAUUGAUGCUGCACUGCUUUUUAUUUUUUAUAUCCAUAUAUUUUUUUUUUGUCAUGUACACACUCAGGUCAUUUAGUUUUACCAGUGUUUUCAAUAUUUUUAGACAUACUUUAUGCUCUUCUGCUCACUAAUUUAUACACAGCUUGGUUUUUAUGGGUUUUAUUUUGUAAGGUUUUUGGUGCAAUUGUUUUUAAGUUAUUCAAUUUGUCUCAAUUUUUUUAUGUAUGAAACAAUAUGUCAGCACUAUUAGCUUCAGGUUAUAACAUUAGUUAUCUGCUUUUGUCAAGUAAUGUUACUUGUCUCUUCAAGAGCUAUUGAUAGUUACUUUGCUUAGAUGCUUGAAGUAUAGGUCAAACAAAUAAGUCACUAAAAUGUCAGAAAAAAGUUUUUUUUUUAAAAUAUUAAAGUUAAAGUUUUGCUUGGCAUCGUUGAUUUUUGUAACAUUAUUUAACAAAUAAAAUUGUAAGGUUAUUUAAUGUGCUGUUCAUACUUUUAAUCAUGUGUCCUCUCCUAUACACUCCCAGUUUAUUUAAGGGUGUAGUUUUUCCUUCUUGCCAAUUAAGUUGUACACACUUCCUGUCUGGCUUAGUUUGAAUACAUGGUAGUUAACAACAAUUUAUUUUGUGUUAGUCCAUCUUCUUAUCUGUAUUGACUAUCUGUCCUUAUCUGUAUUGACUACCUUGCUGACUACAGCAAUUGUGAGAAUAUUUUUCUUAUAGAUGUUUGACAUUAAAUUAAAUAUAGUAAUUAAACAUUUAUUUUAGUAAGAAGCAAGUUCAGAACAUAAAAAAGUGACUAUAGAAAGUCUUUGAAUUAAUGCAAAACAAAAUUACUGUUAAUGUUGAAAAGACUCAGACCAUACAAGAAAACAUCUAGUUUGACAACUAACCUUGUUAGGGAAACAAGUUGAAGAAAUAUUUUUUUUAAAGUGAAGAGUCAUUAUAAAAACAAAAUCCCACUGCACUAUAUAUUUUUUCUUUGAUUUCUUGUUUAGAAAAUAUGAGGUAUACAACUCGAUAGGUUUAUUUCACAUGACAUUUGAGCUUCAGAGAAUUAAGUUGCUUUUGAGAUGAAGGGUGAUGAAAACAUAAAUGAGUUUAUAAUAAUGUUGACAACUAAAUCUUCUUGAUAAUAAGAUGAACAAUUGGAGAAAGUCAACUAUAGCUAGCUUUUAGGUGUAGGCCUAUCCGGUGUACAGAAUACGGAAGUAUUGAUAAGCAAAGUAUUGAAAUAAAUCUUUUUUUUUUUUCUUUACUUUAAAGCAAAGUAGAAUUAAAUUUCUAAUCUGUUUUGCUUGCAGCACAAACUAUUAUUUAUUUAUUUUUUUUGUAAAUUUUGUUUGAUCUCUCAAUAUUGAUAGGUCUUUAUUUCAAAAUUUCUCCCUAUAUGCCUUUGUUUAUUUUCUAAGGCCUAUUUUUUAACUUAUCGCCAUGACGGCACCACAUUUCUUCACACGGGUAUCUUUUUUCCCUUACUGAAUUUCAUUGUUUAAAAAUGUAAAUGUACCUCAAAAAUUAAAAGCAUCAACAAAGAGAAGAUAACUGAGAUAUACAUUUAAUUGUGGAAAUUCCCGAUAAGGGAAAAGGGGAGAUGUUACGCUCUGCACAGUUAUCAUGGUAUGUGCAAAUAAUCUCUAAAUUCUAAUUAUGCUUUAGUUUAAUGAAAUCAUUUAAAAACGAAUCAUCUAACUUAAUUUAGGGGAAACAACAAUUGUUCGCACUGGGUCUACUAUUUUAAAAAAUGCAAAGAAGGUGAGGUUGUCUAGGAAAAGUCGUAAUGUGGGACUUCAAGAUUUUUAUUUUGGUUUUCAGAAAUGAAGAUAAGUCCAGGUGACUACAUCAUGGUUCAAAUCCACCAAACAGAAUUCUUUCUUAGGGACUCUAUCACGACAAUGUCAAGUUGACCUUGUUGACCCAGGUCCUUGGAGCCCAUAGCAAACUUAUUUCUUGAGUUUCGAGUCGUGCCUCUGUUGAAAUAUUUUAAGAUCCCGAAAUAGAACUGUGACUGAUAAACAAAGGCCCAUAUUAAUCUUCUAGUACUACUUUAUAAAGUAGGUCAAUUACCUCCAACAAAGUAAAUUAGAGCUUUUAGCACACCCCCCCUUCCUGAACCUGUUAAAGGCUCUUUUUUUUUUUUUACUAUUUUAUCCUCCUUUUGUAAGUUGAGUGUCGUAAAACCAAAAUCGAGCAAUAUUGUAUGUAUCAGUCUAUUUUUUUAUUUUGGUAACUUUCCCCAAUGCAAGUACAUUACUUCUUAAAUAUUUAAUAUGCAUAUUUUAGUUUCAGAAAGGGUGUAUGUCUAAGUUUGCGGAGGGUAGGCUUAAGGCCCUUGGUAGACGGACUGCCGUAAAUCCGGAGCUGUACCAGUAUUUACAUAUUCCGAGCAUGCUACAACUACAAGCGGACAUUUCUUUAUCAAGACGUGAGAUUUAAAGUAUUAGCGUUAAAAAUGAGAAAACAAGCUCAAUACAAAAGAAUACUAUUAAAAAAAAUAAAGGCUUCUCAAGCCAACGCGGUACCCACUCUGCUAGCGAAGAGUCUAUAAAUAUGGAAGAUUGUAUAACAGGCAGACAGAAAGACGGACAGAGUGAGUUGCUUUAAGCUUUGUAAAAAGAUUGGUCAGUAAAUAGAAUCUCAAUCUAGACAAGGUCUACUGGUCUUAGAAGCUCUAUUUGUGUUUGACAAUGGGAGACCUAUGAAGCACAGGCACGUGAUCAUAGCGUGCAUUAUUUCAGUCUGCUAGGUCUACUAAGUGCCGGAUUCUAGUGGAGUGGAGCCCACGAAAGCACGGACAAUAAUCUCCACAAUCACGUCUGCUGACCAGUUGCUUUCAGCUUUUGAAGACAAUUUAGGAUUUAAUUCGACAACAUCCAUUACUGACAGACGACCUGAAAAAAAAAAAGGGCA